CCGCCCUCCGCCUUCCCCGGGAUUCCGUGCUGUGCGGGCCGGGCGCUGGCGUUGGAUUGAGUUCUGUGAGUUGACUGGGCAUUCUGCAUCACAAGGUGUGGCUGGGCACUGGAACAGCCGAAGUCACCUGGGAGCUGACUGGGUUGGACUGUCCAGGAUGGUUCACUCCUACGACAGUGGAUGCUCAACUGGGGCUGUCAACUGGAGCCCCCAUAGGGCACUAAUCCAGACGCGGAGGGCUCACCUUUACAACAGCUAAACCUGAUCACCCCCCAGAGGCCCCAUCUCCAAAUACCAUCACAUUGGGGAUUGUGCUUUGACAUAUGAAUGUGGGAGGACACGAGCAUUCAGUCCAUAACAGGCACCAAGGCACCAAGUCAGUCUGCACAAGUGUGUCGCUGGGCAGAAGAACAAAAGAGAAGGAAGAAGAAAGAACACAGUACAGAAAGUGAGUGGCGGUACCACAAAGAGUCAUCAGCAAGUGCUGAUGGUGGCUCCGGCCAGCACAUUCCAAGCAUCCUUGGGUAGCCUGAUAAAUGGAGUGCAGAAUGUUCGGUAGCUCUGCAAGGAGUGGGAGUAUUUAUUGGGUCUGAGUGCUUGAUGCGAAACUUUCCUCCAAAGUUCCAAUUUUCUAUCCGCCAAGAUAAGUGAUGGAGGUUUAUGGUUCAUGUUGUAGCACAUCCACCCAGGCCAAGGACCUACAACUCUGAAUUUCUGGCCUGCCUCCUUCCAGCUAGAAGUGAAUCUAGAUUUACAUGCCAUCAGGAACAAGCAUCGUCUUCCUGUUCUGUGAGUUCCUAGUUGUAGUAGGUACUGCUUUCAUCCUGAGAAUAUCAAUCUACAUGCACAAGGUCCCUCUCUGUGGAGGAGUAGGUACUUAAACCCAAGAUAAGUGGAAACUUUAUAUCCAAGGAGACAGAAAAUAAAAUUUCAGUAUGUUUUAUAUUAAACAACUUAUUAUACUUCUAUCCUUUUAUGAACAUAAGGUCAUCAGUAGGCCAAAAGUCUGAAAACAGUCUCAGUUCCUCAAUGUGAAUGCAAACCAUUAGUGCAAAAAAAAAAAAAAAAUAGAUAAAAUUAAAAAAUGAAAGCACAGAUACUUUCUAGCCUUGCUGUCUUAUAGCCCCAUAUUCAUAGGACUGACCAUUCCCCAUCUAUACCCACACCUUUCCCAAAGGACACUAUCUGUGAAUGGUGGCCACGCGUUUGGAUGUUACAGA
This 1220-nucleotide long non-coding RNA is filed under the name Homo sapiens (human). RNAcentral describes it as "HSALNT0070368". The record is from RNAcentral. Lineage: Eukaryota; Metazoa; Chordata; Mammalia; Primates; Hominidae.